UACGUAGGGUGCGAGCGUUGUCCGGAAUUAUUGGGCGUAAAGAGCUCGUAGGCGGUGUGUCACGUCGGCCGUGAAAACCUGCAGCUUAACUGUGGGCGUGCGGUCGAUACGGGCAUCACUGGAGUUCGGCAGGGGAGACUGGAAUUCCUGGUGUAGCGGUGAAAUGCACAGAUAUCAGGAGGAACACCGGUGGCGAAGGCGGGUCUCUGGGCCGACACUGACGCUGAGGCGCGAAAGCCAGGGGAGCGAACGGG
Molecule: ribosomal RNA, 254 nt
Filed under: uncultured bacterium
Lineage: Bacteria
Description: partial 16S ribosomal RNA
Rfam family: Bacterial small subunit ribosomal RNA
Source: RNAcentral